Non-coding RNA from Pelobates cultripes (western spadefoot toad), 86 nucleotides. The record is from the annotation of a GenBank genome assembly. Lineage: Eukaryota; Metazoa; Chordata; Amphibia; Anura; Pelobatidae.
AGACUGAAUAAAAACAAGCAGUCUGCUGACAUCAUUAGAAGUCCACUUCUAAUGAUGUCAGCAGACUGCUUGUUUUUAUUCAGUCU